This 253-nucleotide ribosomal RNA is filed under the name uncultured bacterium. RNAcentral's name for it is "partial 16S ribosomal RNA". It matches the Rfam family "Bacterial small subunit ribosomal RNA", at positions 524 to 776 of the family's 1533-position model. The record is from RNAcentral.
UACGGAGGAUGCGAGCGUUAUCCGGAUUUAUUAGGUUUAAAGGGUGUGUAGGCGGAAGCUUAAGUCAGUGGUGAAAUCCCCCGGCUCAACCGGGGAACUGCCAUAGAUACUGGGUUUCUUGAGUACAGUUGAAGUAGGCGGAAUGUGUAAUGUAGCGGUGAAAUGCAUAGAUAUUACACAGAACACCGAUUGCGAAGGCAGCUUGCUAAGCUGUUACUGACGCUGAUGCACGAAAGCGUGGGGAGCGAACAGG